GAUGAACGCUAGCGACAGGCUUAACACAUGCAAGUCGAGGGGCAGCGGGGGAGUAGCAAUACUCCCGCCGGCGACCGGCGCACGGGUGAGUAACACGUAUGAAACCUGCCCGUAGCAGGGGGAUAAGCGGAAGAAAUUCCGUCUAAUACCGCGUAACAACCCAUGGAGGCAUCUCCGUGGGUUUAAAGGAAGCGAUUCCGGCUACGGAUGGUCAUGCGUCGCAUUAGCUUGUUGGCGGGGUAACGGCCCACCAAGGCGACGAUGCGUAGGGGUUCUGAGAGGAAGGUCCCCCACACUGGUACUGAGACACGGCCCAA
This 317-nucleotide ribosomal RNA is filed under the name uncultured bacterium. RNAcentral describes it as "bacterial SSU rRNA". It matches the Rfam family "Bacterial small subunit ribosomal RNA", at positions 28 to 334 of the family's 1533-position model. The record is from RNAcentral.